Pleuronectes platessa (European plaice) is the source of this 334-nucleotide long non-coding RNA. RefSeq lists it as uncharacterized. The record is from RefSeq and is a predicted model, not a curated record. The transcript is spliced from 3 exons. Lineage: Eukaryota; Metazoa; Chordata; Actinopteri; Pleuronectiformes; Pleuronectidae.
GUGCCAUCUUUCCAUCGCAAUACUGAAGACGAGGGAAAUGCAAGCACAUCUGUUCACGGUGCUAGGCUACAUCACGUAGCAUGCCAGACGGACCCACCAAAGAUGCGCACACAUGGAACGCAGCUUUCUAUGAAAACACUGCGACCUCACUACAAAAGUACAGGCACACAGAAAACUGUGCUGCACUGAUGUCGGUGUUGGGACCUCAGCUGUAAGAGACCUCGCUUGGAGGAGGGACAGGACAACCCAAGUUGUUGCAGUAUGGACUUCGGAGAGCCACAGGAUGCUACCUAUGAUCCUGAUGACUCGAUCACAGUCUUGACUGAGUCAGCAG